CCCUCUCACUCCCAGAGUGGUUGACUUGGAUGAUCUCACUGAAGAGAAGACCCCUCCCUCAUCGCCUCACAGCUAUCCCCAGCCUGGCUUCCUCCAAAUACAGAGGGCUGGCCUGCCAUUUCCACAAAGCAGAGCACGAAGCUGGAAGAGGGACGUGGAGAUGUUAAAACGACAACAAAAAAUAUAUAUAUAAAAACAGG
This is a long non-coding RNA of Otolemur garnettii (small-eared galago), 200 nucleotides long. RefSeq lists it as uncharacterized. The transcript has 3 exons. Lineage: Eukaryota; Metazoa; Chordata; Mammalia; Primates; Galagidae. The record is from RefSeq and is a predicted model, not a curated record.